CAGUCGCCGCGGUAAUACGAAGGGUGCAAGCGUUACUCGGAAUUACUGGGCGUAAAGCGUGCGUAGGUGGUUGUUUAAGUCUGCUGUGAAAGCCCUGGGCUCAACCUGGGAAUUGCAGUGGAUACUGGGCAACUAGAGUAAGGUAGAGGAUAGUGGAAUUUCCGGUGUAGCGGUGAAAUGCGUAGAGAUCGGAAGGAACAUCUGUGGCGAAGGCGACUAUCUGGGCCAUUACUGACACUGAGGCACGAAAGCGUGGGGAGCAAACAGGAUUAGAUACCCCAGUAGUCCCUGUCUCUUAUAC
Molecule: ribosomal RNA, 301 nt
Filed under: uncultured bacterium
Lineage: Bacteria
Description: partial 16S ribosomal RNA
Rfam family: Bacterial small subunit ribosomal RNA
Source: RNAcentral